Long non-coding RNA from Dreissena polymorpha, 6270 nucleotides. RefSeq lists it as uncharacterized. NCBI's taxonomy places the organism in Eukaryota, Metazoa, Mollusca, Bivalvia, Myida, Dreissenidae. The transcript has 2 exons. The record is from RefSeq and is a predicted model, not a curated record.
AUAUAUAAUAUUUUAUGCACACAUAAAAGAUUUUAUGUCAUUGUACGAUUUCUUAAUUGUUGAACAUUAUAUUGGUUCAAGCCUUAUAUUUAAUUACUUGUGUAUAACCUCAGUGUGGGGUCACAUGGGCUCUUUUGACCAAUCAAAUUCAGUGUGGCCCCCUUGGAUCCUUCUAGACUAACGUGGUAUCCAAUAUGGUCGAAAUUAACAAUUACGCUCUUAAGCGAUACUUCCAAGGAUUAAUUUUAAUAUGAUAUGAUGCCGUUUCAUUCCGUUUAUGUGAAGGAUUAUCUCUCGUUGUACGAAGACGUACACCAAUGGUGUUAUCCCGUGUGAUACUAGAAGUUUAAAGGGCAGUUGAACGAGUAAACAUGCUUAUCAGUGCCGUGUGCAGAAAACUUUGUGACGUAUACGCAGUCUUCCGUGAAAGGUUUACAAGAUGGCGGCGCCCACAGCGUAAUUAGCGCAUUUCGCCAGUCACUUUUUUAUGCUGGUCAGCUACACAGUUGUCGCUGCCCUGUAUCAGUCAUACUGAUUCAGUUCAGAUAAGUAUUCUAAUUUCUUGUUAACAUUUGUGCCUGUCUAAGUUCUGGCUGUUUAAAAUAUAAUUUUACUGCCUUUUUAAGAAUGAUGAUAAAUUCGGGUCAGCUCUAUAUAUCUUGUAUAUUUAUUGUCUUAUUUAAUUUUAAGUUCAGCCUGGGCUUAUACUUUAUGUAUAUUUACGACACAUUUGUAUUAUCAGUUAAGCUGGGUUUCCUACUGUCACAUUAACAGAUGCCAUCACGUUUUUAUGAAAUAAACAAUAAAACACCCUUUCAUUUUAAUCUAUAUUACCAUACCUCAUUUAUAUGGUCAACGUGUGUAUUUUAGAAUUCUUGUGAUGUGUUUUGUUGUGCUAUUAUUGUUCAUGUUUUCUUUAUGGCAAUUAUUUGGUUGUAAUAUUUUCAUUAACAUAUCCUUGUUAAAUACAUAACUACUAAAAACUAUAAGUAUUUUUAAUAUUCUUAAAAGCUUCAUAUUCAUAUAUAUAUCUUAUUUGUAUGUUUUGUGGUGUGUCUUAUAGUCACACUGUAAUUUUAACCUUCAAGUUUUGUCUUGUAGUCACAUCUGGUCAGUCUAUUUGUGACUUGUAGUCACAAUAGUUCACAUAAGGUUAUACCCAAGGAGCGUCCGUAAAGGUGACCGGUAGCUGCGGAAUCCCACAGCCCGAGCCAGAGAACAGAAAUAUCCUUUCACGUAUCCUUCAGCCAUGCCUACCUCUCAACACCGCAAUACAAAGGACCUGUCCGCUGGCUGGCCCUUCCUGUACAAGUACUACAAAGGGGCGAAAAGGCACGUUUCCAGCCCUUCCUUUGAACACUACAUUAAACCUGCCUACCUCUCAACACCCCUCCUAUACAGAGGACCUGUCCACUGACUGGCACUUCCUGUACAAGUACUACAAUGGGACGAUAAGGCACGUUUCCAGCCCUUCUUAUUGAACACUACAUUAAACCACGAAGGACCGGAACGAACAAUUACGGCUAGAAACAGGAAGACUUCACUCUUCAGAACAUUGUGUUUUAUCUAGUGAUCUUCAGUUUUUUAGUUCUCAUUUCAUACUUAUACAUUUUUAAUGUUAUGUCCGAUUAUAGUUAUCAGCUCAGGCUGAUUCUAAUGGUUUAGUUCUCUCUGAAGUAAGUAUGUUUAUGCCUGAUUUAAGUUUUUCAGUUUAGACUGAUAUUGAGGUUAUAGUUCUCUACGAAGGAACUAUUUUUACGCAGGCCUUGAUUAUAUUUUUCAAUAUUCGGCCUGAUUUUGCUUAUUCCGUUCAGGCUUAUAUUGUGUUAUAGUUCUCUACGCAGAAACUAUGUUUAUGCAGGCCUUGCUUAUUCAUUGUUCAAUAUUUGGCCUGAUUUUGCUUAUACCAUUCAGGCUGAUAUUGUUAUUAUAGUUCUCUACGCAGAACUAUGUUUAUGCAGGCCUUGCUUAUUUAUUUUUCAAUAUUUGGCCUGAUUUUGCUUAUACCGUUCAGGCUGAUAUUGUUAUAUUAGUUCUCUACGCAGAACAAUAUUAUAGUUCUCUACGCAGAACUAUGUUUAUGCAGGCCUUGCUUUUAUAUUUUCCAUUAUUCAGCCUGAUUUUAGUUAUACCGUUCAGGCUGAUAUGGAUGUUAUAGUUCUCUACGCAGAACUAUGUUUAUGCAGGCUUUGCUUAUUAUUAUUUUCCAAUAUUCAGCCUGAUUUUAGUUGGACCGUUCAGGCCGAUAUUGAUAUUUUAGUUCUCUACGCAGAACUAUGUUUAUGCAGGCCUUGCUUAUUAUUAUUUUCCAAUAUUCAGCCUGAUUUUAGUUGGACCGUUCAGGCCGAUAUUGAUAUUUUAGUUCUCUACGAAGGAACUAUGUUUAUGCAGGCUUUGCUUAUUAUAUUUUACAAUAUACAGCCUGAUUUUAGUUGGACCGUUCAGGCCGAUAUUGAGAUUUUAGUUCUCUACGAAGGAACUAUAUUUAUUCAGACUGUGCAUAUAUUUUUCUAUAUUCAAACUGAUUUUCAGUAUUCCAUUCAGGCUGACAUUGAUGUUAUGGUUCUCUACGAAGGAACUAUGUUUUAUGCAUUCCUUGCUUAUAUUUUUCAGUAUUCUUCCUGAUUUUAGUUAUUCCGUUCAGGACGAUAUUGAGGAUGUAGUUCUCUACGAAGGAACUGAAUUUAUGCAUGAUUUUAGUUAUUCAGUUCAGUCCAUGCUUGUAUUUUUCAAUAUUCUGCAGGAUUUUAGUUAUUCAGUUUAGGCUGAUAUUGAUACUAUAGUUCUCUACAAAGGAGCUAUUUUUCCUAAGUUGGGUACCAGAUCAGGUCAUGCUCGUACUUCUUACAUGUUCCGUCUGAUUCAGAUAUCUGGACAUGCCAUGCAUAUAUUUAUCUUUUAAUUUCUGCCCAGUCAGGCAUCGUUGGGGUUUACUCUACCCCUCUAACUAAACUUAUUUCUAUUUUUAUGACCAAAGUUUUAAACUUAUUUUCCCCGUUUUUCUGAUUGGUAUGUUCCAAUUUUACCGUAUAUGCCAAUCUUUACGGGUAGUUAUUCUAACAGUUCUAGUGUCAACACAUCUUUCCCAUUGGUACUUGUUAAAAUACCAAUUCAUUUGAUUAUACCCUGAUGAUACUCCUGGGGUUCAUAAACCUGUGUGUUGGCGUACUAUACGAAUAAAAUUGCCUUCUGCCCGAUAAUCUUCAUCUCCCAAAAGAUGCUUCUGGGUCUAAGAUUUUGAAGCUACUGUUGGGCAUACUAGUUUUUCAUAUCUCUGAGUUAAAGGGAAUGUCGCCCCACAGGGAUCUGCCAUAUCCCUAUGUAAAUAAACAUGCUCCACUAAGUCACACCAAAUAAGAGCAAUACGUUUCCUAGGUUUUGUCCUCGAAAACCAUUACAUAUAUAUUUUCCAUCAUAAUCCAUUACCCUUUUUACUUUGCUUACUCUUAAGCGAGUAUCGUUAGCCCAGUUCUUUCACGUUUUAAAUCAGGGGCUUGUUACCCGAGCUGUUCCAUAUGGUUAUUCCCACAGAUAUUCCUCUGGAUUAUUGGUUUUUGUUGUACAUGUCACUUUAACUGUCUGCCAGUUUACAUCUGCAGCCCAAUUGUUUAUUACUUUUUGAUUGGUCGCUCUUUUUCAAGUACAUUUCGAAUCUUACUUUUGUCAAGGUUUUUCAUAUUAUGUAUAUAUGUUUACUGACAGUUUAUUGUUCCAAUGGUCUUUCACUCAUUUACUGGUACCUGUACUUCAGGCCAAUGCUGGUUGUCUUUCGGUUCCAAACCAUAGCUCCAUAGUUGUACUACACUAUAAAGAAGUGAAACUCCAGCUGCUGGAGCACUAUUGAAUUUUCAUUAAAAACAAUUAGUUGGUCCUUUAUUUACAUUAUUGCUUUCCCUGUUUAUGUGUUACAAUUAUUAAUUUGCUUUUGUUGUGUUGCUUGACUGUUUAUGUUUAACCAACAGUUUAACCCCACAGGUAACCUAUUACCAAGGUCUGUUAUUAAGGCAAUGUUUGCCCCUUUUUUUUUUUUUUUUUUUUUUUGAUAGUUUAAGACUGCAGUUCCAUUGUUUUACUUUAUGAUUGCUUACUCCUGUAUGGGUACAUAUUUUUACUUUUGUUGUUCUGCUGUACUAUCUAUGUUUACCUGAUAGGUAAAGGGCGCAGAUUGUAUUUAAAAUUUUACCAAUACCCUUUAUUAAGGCCAAUAUGUGUUCAUUACUUUUCAUAUGUUGUCUGAUGGUUAAAGGCAGCACCUACAUUGUUUUACACUGGGUUCAUGAUACUACUUAACCACUGCAUUUUAAUAUUUUGCUUGGUCAGGUUCUUGUACAUUUAAGGUUAACCUUCUAGUUUAAAGCUGCACAUUCAUUUUCACCUCUUAACAGGUACCUGUACUUAGUCUGAAUUCCAAAAUCUGUUGUAUACAUCUGUUUGGUCAUCUUGUUGGUUUAAGGCCGCAGCUCCAUUGUAUAACAUAUUAUUGUUUACUUUCUUAUCGAUACAGGUAAUUUUUCACCUAUAACAAAGGCCUGUAAUUAGGGCCAUAUCUGUUGUAUAUAUCUCCUAUGCAGGAUGGUUUAGGGCCACAGAUCCAUUUUUUUACUAUAUUAUUGCUUACUUUUUACCGGUAUAUCUUUUUUAUACUUAUUUUCGUUGCUUUGCUUUACAAUUUAUGUUUACCUGACAGUUUAAGGCUGCAGGUACUUUUUCAUCUAUUAAUAAGGCUGCUGUUUAAGGCAAGUAUCUGUUGCCUAUAUCUCCUAUGUUGUCUGGCGGUUUAGUGCUCGGAUCGGGGAUUAUACUAUAUUAUUGAUUGCCUACUCUUUUACCGGUACAUUGUCUUAUUUUAUCGUGUGUAGCUUUGCUGUACAAUUUAUGUUUACCUGACAGUUUUAGGCUGCAAGCAAACGUUUCCCAUUUUAACAAGGCUGUUUAUUAAAGCCAUUAUUUGUUGGAUAUAUCUCCUAUGUUGUAUGACAGUUUAAGGCCGCAGAUACAUGUUUGUUUGUUUUUCUUCAUGAUUGUUACUCCUUUAAGUGUGCAUCUUCUUACUUUACUUUUGUUGUUUUGCUGUAAAAGUUAUGUUUCCCUGACAGUUAAAGGCUGCAGGUAGUCUUUCAUCAUUUUUACUAGCGCUUAUACUUUAUACAAAUAUCGGUUGUUUUAUGUCUGACCGGUUAAGGUCGCAGCUCCCAUUAUUUACAUAUAGGUCUAAGUCACUCUUGUUGACAAUUAGGUUAAGCAGUUCUUAUUAACACUGAUUUUUUCUGGCAGUAUUUUUCUUAUGGAGCAUACACAUAUAAUUAAGUUAUGCUUAUUCUAGUGAUCGUUGAACACCAAUCCUAUUGUUGUCACUUAAUUUACUUCACUAUGUUCUAUAAUUUGUUAUUAAUUAGCAGAUGGAUGAUUUUAGCCUAGGGGCUAUUUACAAAUCAAAGCUUAUAAUGCUUAUUUGUCCUUAAUUUUGACAUUACCUGACCUUAAUCGUAAGGCUACGUUUAUAUUCAUUCAGGGGCAACUACCCCCUUUUCGAAUUGCGGUCCUCUCCCGUACUUCAUGGGCGGCGGGGUUCCCGUUCCGGUCCCCUUUGUGGCGUGUUUAUACCACCCAUUAUGCCUUUUUGGAAAGAAUCUGUUCUAUUUUUAUCUUUUUUAUGGCAUUUUAUAAUAAAUGCCCGUUUUCAAUCAACAAUAUUGUGUUUGUUCUUUCCUUCAAGUCAUACGAGUCCGUCCGGUCUAUGACCUUUUUAUUACCACCGAGGACAAUACAUAAAUAAUAUUUUAUGCACACAUAAAAGAUUUUAUGUCAUUGUACGAUUUCUUAAUUGUUGAACAUUAUAUUGGUUCAAGCCUUAUAUUUAAUUACUUGUGUAUAACCUCAGUGUGGGGUCACAUGGGCUCUUUUGACCAAUCAAAUUCAGUGUGGCCCCCUUGGAUCCUUCUAGACUAACGUGGUAUCCAAUAUGGUCGAAAUUAACAACCCACCUCCACCCCUUCUCCGCCAUAAGUUUGACUCCCUUACUAUGUAUGUUUUUACCUGUGUGUAAAACACAUUUGUUUCUUAUUUUACUGUUAUACGCAUCAAUAUUUUUCUUUUAUACUUAUUUUGGGCGUGUUUUCCCGCCGUCAUCACAUUCAAAUUCAUGUUUUUGUAUGUGUUUAUACGUGUGUGGCGUGUUUAUACCACCCAUUAUGCCUUUUUGGAAAGAAUCUGUUCUAUUUUUAUCUUUUUUAUGGCAUUUUAUAAUAAAUGCCCGUUUUCAAUCAACAA